This 253-nucleotide ribosomal RNA is filed under the name uncultured prokaryote. RNAcentral describes it as "partial 16S ribosomal RNA". It matches the Rfam family "Bacterial small subunit ribosomal RNA", at positions 524 to 776 of the family's 1533-position model. The record is from RNAcentral.
UACAGGGGGGGCAAGCGUUGUUCGGAAUUAUUGGGCGUAAAGCGUCUGUAGGUGGUUUAAAAAGUCCAUGGUUAAAACUUGAAGCUUAACUUCAAAGAUGCCAUGGAAACUUUUAAACUUGAGUAUGGUAGGGGUAAAGGGAAUUUCCAGUGGAGCGGUGAAAUGCGUAGAUAUUGGAAAGACCACCGACGGCGAAGGCACUUUACUGGGCCAUUACUGACACUAAGAGACGAAAGCUAGGGGAGCAAAUGGG